AUUGAACGCUGGCGGCAGGCCUAAUACAUGCAAGUCGAACGGUAACAUAAAAGAAGCUUGCUUCUUUUGAUGACGAGUGGCGGACGGGUGAGUAAUAUUCGGGAAACUACCUGAUAGAGGGGGACAACAGUUGGAAACGACUGCUAAUACCGCAUAAAGCCUGAGGGUGAAAGCAGCAAUGCGCUAUCAGAUGUGCCCAAACGGGAUUAGCUAGUAGGUGAGGUAAAGGCUCACCUAGGCGACGAUCUCUAGCUGGUCUGAGAGGAUGAUCAGCCACAUUGGGACUGAGACACGGCCCAGACUCCUACGGGAGGCAGCAGUAGGGAAUAUUGCACAAUGGAGGAAACUCUGAUGCAGCCAUGCCGCGUGUGUGAAGAAGGCCUUCGGGUUGUAAAGCACUUUCGGAGGGGAGGAAAAGAUGACGUUACCCUCAGAAGAAGCACCGGCUAACUCCGUG
RNAcentral lists this ribosomal RNA (457 nucleotides) under uncultured bacterium. Its description in RNAcentral is "bacterial SSU rRNA". It matches the Rfam family "Bacterial small subunit ribosomal RNA", at positions 30 to 507 of the family's 1533-position model. The record is from RNAcentral.